GACGAACGCUGGCGGCGUGCUUAACACAUGCAAGUCGAACGAUGAGGCCCAGCUUGCUGGGUGGAUUAGUGGCGAACGGGUGAGUAACACGUGGGCAACCUGCCCCAAACUCUGGGAUAACUCCUCGAAAGAGGUGCUAAUACCGGAUACGAACUAGACAGACAUCUGUACUAGUUGGAAAGUUUUUCGGUUUGGGAUGGGCCCGCGGCCUAUCAGCUUGUUGGUGAGGUAACGGCUCACCAAGGCUACGACGGGUAACCGGCAUGAGAGGGCGACCGGUCACACUGGGACUGAGACACGGCCCAGACUCCUACGGGAGGCAGCAGUGGGGAAUAUUGCGCAAUGGGCGAAAGCCUGACGCAGCGACGCCGCGUGAGGGAUGAAGGUCUUCGGAUCGUAAACCUCUUUCAGUAGGGACGAAGCGAAAGUGACGGUACCUAAAGAAGAAGCACCGGCUAACUACGUGCCAGCCGCCGCCGUAA
This 482-nucleotide ribosomal RNA is filed under the name uncultured bacterium. RNAcentral describes it as "partial 16S ribosomal RNA". It matches the Rfam family "Bacterial small subunit ribosomal RNA", at positions 28 to 523 of the family's 1533-position model. The record is from RNAcentral.